This 253-nucleotide ribosomal RNA is filed under the name uncultured bacterium. RNAcentral's name for it is "partial 16S ribosomal RNA". It matches the Rfam family "Bacterial small subunit ribosomal RNA", at positions 524 to 776 of the family's 1533-position model. The record is from RNAcentral.
UACGAAGGGUGCUAGCGUUGUUCGGAAUCAUUGGGCGUAAAGCGUACGUAGGCGGCUUAGUAAGUCGAUUGUGAAAUCCCCAGGCUUAACUUGGGAAUUGCAACCGAAACUGCUUCGCUUGAGUUUGGUGGGGGAUAGUGGAAUUCCUAGUGUAGGGGUGAAAUCCGUAGAUAUUAGGAGGAAUAUCGGUGGCGAAAGCGACUAUCUACGCCAAUACUGACGCUAAGGUACGAAAGCGUGGGGAGCAAACAGG